GGGACAGCGGGGAGGGACGUGGAGAGAGGGUGGGGGACAGACAGACCGGGGUCGGGUAGAGCGAGGAGGGGUUUGAUGAACAAAGGGAGCGGGAAAUACGGAUACAGACGGAGUGGACGGAGGCAGGAGACAUGUGCUCCCCGAAGGACACCAGCCCAAUGGAGAUGGUCUGCAGGAAUGGCCGGAUGGCAGGCGUGAACUGUGGAGAGACGCGGCUGCGUCACCCACCGCUCAAGAGAGGGAUGGGGACAGGGCAGGAGCGAGGCACAGGGAUGUGCGGGGAAGACACAUUCAUUCAGUAAACGUUUCAUGAGCUCCUACUGUGUGC
This 328-nucleotide long non-coding RNA is filed under the name Homo sapiens (human). RNAcentral's name for it is "HSALNT0398057". The record is from RNAcentral. Lineage: Eukaryota; Metazoa; Chordata; Mammalia; Primates; Hominidae.